Molecule: long non-coding RNA, 2906 nt
Filed under: Salmo salar (Atlantic salmon)
Lineage: Eukaryota; Metazoa; Chordata; Actinopteri; Salmoniformes; Salmonidae
Description: lncRNA (ENSSSAG00000093901.1)
Source: RNAcentral
CGGAAGGCCAAGCCACUCUCCAACGGAUCCCUCUGUAACAAUAAUUGUAACAGUGAAUAGGUAACAGAAGCCUUCUAUCAACCUUUGCCAUAUCAGAUGUCCUAAACGUGAAACCUAAAGAUAAUAGCUUGAACGCAGCAGGACGCAACAACAUUCGCUGCUAACCAACUAGAUCUAUACACUUCAGAAGAGGGACUGCGUUUUACCUGCCAGUUUUCAAUCGACCAAAUAUCUCAAUCGUCGCUGGUUGGGGUUCCCAGGGCACAGUAAACCUGCGCAAACACUACAAUUAUCAAAACCACUAACUUUAACACUGUCAUCUCGGUAAAUUUGAGGGAAUAGAUGAUAGGCUGCAGUGUUUCUUCUGUUUGAAACAAACAGAUAUCUAUUAAGCAAAGCCAAAGUUGUAACAGGCUUUUUAGUGUGGUCUCUCUCGUGUGCCUGUCAAUCGGUAACGCAGUGGUCAAUUUAUAUUCCAAUGUUUUGCUCCGCCCCUCUUUCCAUAUACCAUCAUAUGUGCAUUUUUAUGAGUAAAUAUUGUUUUUGACAUAACUUUGUGCGCAACUGGUGAGCAAACUCACGAUUGUCUAAAGCCAUCUGACCUUUUUCUCAUGAUGCAUGUGUUGUUUUUCUCAACCCAUUUGUUUUACAUUGUGUGUUCGAAUUGUUUACCUCUGGAUAAAUUAUCGUCCAAUAAGGGCAGAACACCCAGAGGUGAGUACUAUUGAGUUAGGACAAUAAGCAAUGACUUAUUGAAGAAAUAUAUAUUGCAGUUGACUUGGUGAAAAAAGGCUAAUGGAAUCAAUGUUGGACAAAUCAAACCCUCUCUAAUGAAUGUAUUGUAAUGACCUGACUAGAUCAUAAAGGAACAAUUGUCCAGACAGAGGAUGGAGUUAACGAAUGGACGGUUUAUUAACUCAACUUAACACAGGCUACUAUUUGGCCGUAGCCCACGCCAAAUGAAUGAAAGGUACCCUACAAACCAACCGUGGCCUUCUCUUGUGAAGCACAGACGUAAGAGAGAGAACAAUGGCUAAACCCGGUCUUAACUUCCAAUGCUCCAUCCCCCUGCCCAAUGCUCCAUCCCCCACGCCACUCCGCCAACCACCAGGCUACCCGGUAUCAGAACAUUCCAGGCAUUCCCGUGAUUGGCAGAUAGCAGGUUGAUUGGCAUGACCCCGCGAACAUUGGUAGACAGGGGCGUCAUGCAACCCAAAAACCUGAGGGGGCACAAAGUAUGCGAGGAUGGCUGGUGGGGCUAGAAAUAUAAAAUCACAAUAGCUAAUUUACAAAUUAAAUCCGGAACGCAAUUAUGUCAUUAAUUAGGAAUGUAUGACAUUGCUUUGUUCAUUAUCACCAAUAAUUCGGAUAUUUGCCAAUUUAGAGAAUUUAGCAUUUUUCAAACAUCUGAAACAGUUUUUUUCUGCAAUCUAGAGCCAUAAGCAUUAUGCUUAAUUAUAUGUAAAGACAACAUGGUUAUUUUUCUGCAUAUCUAAUCAUACCUCUUGAGCUGUCUGUAUCCUACUGACGGGUGUUUUUUUUAUUUAAGAAACUAAAUAUGCUACUCUGCAUUUCUACUAAAAUCUGAGUAAAAUAUUGAAAGGAAUGAGUCUUCUUCAGUACAUUUAGUAAUUGCUUGCUUUUCUAGUCCACCAACCUUGCCAGCAGGCAUACCAGCUAAGAUAGUUAGACAAGUUACUCUAACUUGAUAGCCUGAAAUGUCUUGGUAGCUAGUUAUGAGGUUGGGCGAUUUGGAACAUAUCUGGACUAGCUAAAGCCAACUUCAUCAAAUUGCUACAGAUGUAGGAUCUUCAUUUGAUCACUUGAAAUAUUAAACGAGAGCCGCACACUCUAGGAGCUCAGAUGCAAAAAUGUAAUUACCUAAUAACCAACAUUUUGACAGACAAGCUGUCUUCAUCACGGUAUAAUGACAAACACUGCGGGGUGACUAGUUUAUAUAGUGUCAAAGGACACACACAGGUGUCUGUAAUCAUGGCUGGGUGUGGCCUGACAUCAUUGGUUAAUUCUCAGAUAUAAAAAUAACAUACCAAAAACAUGAAUGGAUAGCAUACAAUCAUAGAUACAAUUUGGCUACAUAGGCCUACAAACAUUUACAAUAGCAAAAUCACAAUAAUCACAAGAAUGGCUUCAGAUCAAAGUCUACGUUAAGACCGAAGGGAGCAAGGGUCUUUAAAUUAAAGAUCCAGGCAGCCUCUCGUUUUAACAAUAAAUUGUCGAGGUCACCCCCUCUCCUAGGGAGGGUGACAUGUUCGAUGCUGAUAUAAAGUAGGGAUGCAAUCGACAUGGUUUCAUUCCAAAAACUUAAUUAGGUCACCCUGUUGCAGGAUAAGUUUCCUGCAAUGCAGGAAAUGUAAACUUGUAGUGUAUUUGAGGUUUAAAACGGUUUCUGAAGUCUGUCACUUCCACUCUGAAAUAACAGACUUGAUUUUCCCUUACAAAAAAUGUGCAUUAAUUAUAAUCCACAUAAUAAUUCCCAUUUCCUAUUGCUGCAGGAUUAUUUUCCUGCUGUAGUAAACUGCCUCAAAUUAACAUCCUACAUCUGCAGGUGUCUAGUAGUAUUACAGAGAAACAAUAACAACAAAUUAAACAAAAAAAUGUUAUGUUAUUUUUUUCUUUUUUCCCAGGACACAUCUGAGGGGGCACGUUAUCAUGUGACCCUUAUGGGCAUGACACCUCUGGUGGCAGAUCUGCAAGUAGCAUGUAGGCUUACAGCUUCCAUGUGUUUUAUGGCAUGCAUCACAUAGCAGGCAUAGGCUAAGGUCUAUGUUAAUACACACAAACAGUUGAAGUCGGAAGUUUACAUACACUUAGGUUGGAGUCAUUAAAACUUGUUUUUCAACCACUCUACAAAUUUCUUGUUAACAAACUAUAGUUUUGGCAAGUCG